Molecule: long non-coding RNA, 1071 nt
Organism: Pipistrellus kuhlii (Kuhl's pipistrelle)
Lineage: Eukaryota; Metazoa; Chordata; Mammalia; Chiroptera; Vespertilionidae
Exons: 2
Source: RefSeq, a predicted model, not a curated record
CAUAUUCUCCUCAUUCUCUGUAUUGAAGUGGAAAGGAGCUUACUAGUGCAGUUCAAGAAGAAUGAGGGGGUCCACCCAGAUGAUUAUCAUAACAUGCUGACACCCUAAACAGUUCCUCUUUAAAAUUGAAUUUCUAAUAUCAUCACUUUGGAGAUUAUAAUAUUGAGACAUGAAUCCCUUGGAAAAUGAUUCAGGAGCUGUGCAUGCUGUGAUAAAGGCACCUGCCAAAGACACGGAGGGGACAUAAAUCUGCCACCAAGUGUGCAGAAUCCCUAAUCGUGCCACCCCUCCAACAGCGUGGGGUCAUUAGAAACCUGCCAACUGCAUCGCUGUGGGCAGCUCAUUCAUUAUAAACAAGGACAAGAUAUUUUCCAUGUUGCAUCAGCCGUCAUGUCAAAUUCCGGCACCAGAAAGGUAGGGUUGAUACAGCCCUUGCCUUCAGAAAGCUGCCAGUCCAUGCUCACAAUACCGCGAUGUUAGUCCAGCACAGAGCUAAGGCAAGGGGGCAAGCUAAGGGCUAAUGGGAUAGGAGUGCGGCUUCUAUCGGUGCUGAUGGGGGGGAUGGGGGAAGGCUUCAUAUUAGUCAACAUGGCAGUCACAGUCCUUGCCCUGCUGUUCUCUCUUGAGAAGUCACCUUUGUACCACUCAGCUGCUACUGUGAACACCAGGGACUUCAUGCCUGAGCGAGCUUCCUGGCCGAGGGAGCCAGUUGUGCUGGAGAGCUAAUAUCCCUGGAAGCCUUCAGCCAAUGAUAGAUGGCAAGUGGGGACUUGAACGGAAACCCGGAGUCUGUGGAGCCCACAAUCCUGACCACCAGGCCUUUUCUGCUCUUGCUUGGGUCCUACCAAGAAACUCUCCAAGGCACACUAUGGCGUCCUGCCUCCUCACCUUCCCCUGUGCUGUUACCCACACCAGGAUAGCAAGAUUCUCUCAUCUUUAAACCCACCAAAUGUUUCUAUCAAGCACCAUGCAAAUGUCAACACCUCCUUGAUAUUGGUUGUUGUUGAUGGUUUUGUUUUCUUGCUUGGAUCUCUCGAUAUCUUUAUUCUGGAAAUGCAGAAAUUGCCCAGA